Molecule: ribosomal RNA, 184 nt
Filed under: Paenibacillus alginolyticus
Lineage: Bacteria; Bacillati; Bacillota; Bacilli; Caryophanales; Paenibacillaceae
Description: partial 16S ribosomal RNA
Rfam family: Bacterial small subunit ribosomal RNA
Source: RNAcentral
AUGCCGCGGUGAAUACGUUCCCGGGUCUUGUACACACCGCCCGUCGCACCACGAGAGUUUACAACACCCGAAGUCGGUGGGGUAACCCGCAAGGGAGCCAGCCGCCGAAGGUGGGGUAGAUGAUUGGGGUGAAGUCGUAACAAGGUAGCCGUAUCGGAAGGUGCGGCUGGAUCACCUCCUUUCU